AGUGAACGCUGGCGGUAGGCCUAACUCAUGCAAGUCGAACGGCAGCACAGUAAGAGCUUGCUCUUACGGGUGGCGAGUGGCGGACGGGUGAGGAAUACAUCGGAAUCUACUUUUUCGUGGGGGAUAACGUAGGGAAACUUACGCUAAUACCGCAUACGACCUACGGGUGAAAGCAGGGGAUCUUCGGACCUUGCGCGAUUGAAUGAGCCGAUGUCGGAUUAGCUAGUUGGCGGGGUAAAGGCCCACCAAGGCGACGAUCCGUAGCUGGUCUGAGAGGAUGAUCAGCCACACUGGAACUGAGACACGGUCCAGACUCCUACGGGAGGCAGCAGUGGGGAAUAUUGGACAAAGGGCGCAAGCCUGAUCCAGCCAUACCGCGUGGGUGAAGAAGGCCUUCGGGUUGUAAAGCCCUUUUGUUGGGAAAGAAAAGCAGCAGGUUAAUACCCCGCUGUUCUGACGGUACCCAAAGAAUAAGCACCGGCUAACUUCGUG
RNAcentral lists this ribosomal RNA (492 nucleotides) under uncultured bacterium. Its description in RNAcentral is "partial 16S ribosomal RNA". It matches the Rfam family "Bacterial small subunit ribosomal RNA", at positions 29 to 507 of the family's 1533-position model. The record is from RNAcentral.